Molecule: transfer RNA, 74 nt
Filed under: Clostridia bacterium
Lineage: Bacteria; Bacillati; Bacillota; Clostridia
Description: tRNA-Gly
Rfam family: tRNA
About the family: Transfer RNA (tRNA) molecules are approximately 80 nucleotides in length. Their secondary structure includes four short double-helical elements and three loops (D, anti-codon, and T loops).
Source: RNAcentral
GCGGGUAUAAUUUAGUGGUAAAAUUCCAUGCUUCCGACCUGGCCUCGUGGGUUCGAUUCCCACUACCCGCUCCA